UGAGGAAUAUUGGUCAAUGGGCGAGAGCCUGAACCAGCCAAGUCGCGUGAAGGAAGAAGGUUCUAUGGAUUGUAAACUUCUUUUGUAAGGGAAUAAAAAGAGUUACGUGUAACUUAUUGUAUGUACUUUACGAAUAAGGAUCGGCUAACUCCGUGCCAGCAGCCGCGGUAAUACGGAGGAUCCAAGCGUUAUCCGGAUUUAUUGGGUUUAAAGGGUGCGUAGGCGGACCUUUAAGUCAGUGGUGAAAGUUUGCGGCUUAACCGUAAAAUUGCCAUUGAAACUGAAGGUCUUGAGUGUAAAUGAGGUAGGCGGAAUGUGUUGUGUAGCGGUGAAAUGCUUAGAUAUUACACAGAACACCGAUUGCGAAGGCAGCUUACUGGGCCGUUACUGACGCUGAUGCACGAAAGCGUGGGGAUCGAACA
This 422-nucleotide ribosomal RNA is filed under the name uncultured prokaryote. RNAcentral describes it as "bacterial SSU rRNA". It matches the Rfam family "Bacterial small subunit ribosomal RNA", at positions 355 to 774 of the family's 1533-position model. The record is from RNAcentral.